RNAcentral lists this long non-coding RNA (1143 nucleotides) under Oreochromis niloticus (Nile tilapia). RNAcentral's name for it is "lncRNA (ENSONIG00000038523.1)". Lineage: Eukaryota; Metazoa; Chordata; Actinopteri; Cichliformes; Cichlidae. The record is from RNAcentral.
CCAUGCGUGUGUUUUUGCGCGCACGUGUGUGUCUGUUUGCAUGCACUCUCAGCAGCAGGAGGCUGUAACGUGUACCAUGCACACUCUGUAAUCACCACUGUUUAUGACUGCAUAAAACAACACUCGCUCCCUCUUUCUGUCCCCCUUCCCUCACUUUUACAGACACACAUUUACAGCUGCUGUCUCACUGGCUGUGUGAUUAUCGCCGUCUGGUUCGGGGCUCUUAUCAGUGUUGUGACGGAAGUGCGCACGCACACAACACACCUUCAGCCUGCCUGGCUCUCUCCCUCACUUUUCCUUCUCUUUUUCCUCCUCUUUCUUUCCUCUCGCUCAGCUGUGUCGCGUCCUUUCCCCAGCGGCAUCGUGGUGUUGCGUCUGCGCUUGCCUUGCCGAGCCGUGUGCCAGUUCAGGAUUGGCAUUAAAGCCAGACAUGAGCUCAUCGGCCCAGCUGGGCAGACAGCCCAUUACAAUGCUCAGCAGAGCCCUACCGCAGGGGUGAAAAGAGCUCAAUACCUGCUGAUUAUCUACUCUUCCUCUCUGUCUGUGCCUCUGCGUCCCUCCCUCCCUCACUCACUGGCUUUUGCUUUCACUUUGUUUCUUCUUCUUUCGUUGGCACCUCUCUUUUCCCUCUCUGCUUUUUCUUUUCUCUGUUAUUCCUCGACUUUUUCCUUUCCUUACUUUCUACUCUCUUUUUCUUCUACUAUCCCUUAUUUUUUUAAUCUCCCCUUUAUUCAUUUUUUCUUUUAUAUUCCCACUUUCUUUCAUUUUAUCUUCCCUGUUUUGCCCUCUUCUUUUCUCUCCUCCCCUGUUUUAUCUCAUUUUCUCCUCAUACAUUUUCUUCUUCUAUGCUUUCCUUUUAUCUUGCCUUGUCUAUUCCUCCUGUCUUCUUUUCUUUUAUUCUUUGGUGUCCUUUUUUCACACUCCUUUUGCUCACCUUUUCUUCUUUUUUUUCUUCUCGUCCUCUCUUCAUUCAUCCCUUUACUCGAUCUCAGUAUCCUCCACCUCAGGCUCUGUCUCUCUCUUCGUGAACUGUCUUAUUCUCACACACACACACACACACACACACACACACACACACACACACACACACACACACUCUGCAUCUUUCUGUCUGCGCUGUCAUCCUCCUUUCUCUUCUUCUAG